CGUGAGAUGUUGGGUUAAGUCCCGCAACGAGCGCAACCCUUACUGUUAGUUGCUACGCAAGAGCACUCUAGCAGGACUGCCGUUGACAAAACGGAGGAAGGUGGGGAUGACGUCAAAUCAUCAUGCCCCUUAUGACCUGGGCCUCACACGUACUACAAUGGCUGUCAACAGAGGGAUGCAAAGCCGCGAGGUGGAGCGAACCCCUAAAAGCAGUCUUAGUUCGGAUUGUAGGCUGCAACCCGCCUACA
RNAcentral lists this ribosomal RNA (248 nucleotides) under uncultured bacterium. RNAcentral describes it as "partial 16S ribosomal RNA". It matches the Rfam family "Bacterial small subunit ribosomal RNA", at positions 1066 to 1320 of the family's 1533-position model. The record is from RNAcentral.